CUGCUUAACAGCUUGGAUUGAAGAGGCUUGUCCGGGGGUACUGAGACCUUGCAGAUCAUUCCAGGAGCCGCCUCCAUCCAAGGCCAACAGCUUCAUCAGGCCGCAGGCCUGGGAGCCCUAAUAGCAAUCAGAUGGCGCAAGUGGAAAAUCACGGCGCUCGGCGAAAAAGCUGGAAAUUGGCGGGCUGUGGUGCCUGGUGCCUGUGCUGCUCAGCGGGAGGAUGAGUCAGGAGCAUAGUGCCCAGACUGGGAGAGAUGUACCUCUGUGGGCAUCUUGAAGGGAAACGAGAAGCGGAGCUGCCCCUGCACCUGCGAUGGGAGCUGCCUGCCUCCCGCUUGUCCUGCCCACGUGCGAACCUCAGCGUGGAAGAGGGAGUCAGUCUCGCACUGCUCCCUGCGCAGCUCAGCUGGCCUCCUGGGGGCAGCCAGCUGGGGCCCAGCUGGAACGCUUGUUUACAUGGGGAGGCUGGGGGAGGCUGAAUCCCAGCGAGUUCCAAGUGUAAUUGCGUUUGGACACUUAAAAGGAAUUGUGUGAAGUGGGCAGAGGCUCUGAAGUCCACCGCCUUAUUUGGUGCUUCUGUGGCCUAUGGUUGCCCUGCUGCUCCCUGGACGAGGGAGUGGGUGUGGACCAGCCCUCGUGGCCCCUCUGCAGCCAGCACCAUCCUCAGUAAAGACUACAGCAGCCACAAGAAACUAAUCCAUGGGGAUGGCCAGGCCUGAUUAGCUGGGGUGGGGCUGGAGGCUCCUCUACAGAGAUGAUGCUUACACUGAGACCUGAAGGAGAAGGAGGUGGCUGCUCACGCAACUCACAGGAAAGUGUUCCAGGAUCAAGAAUAGCAGGUGCAAAGGCCCCGUGAUGGAAAGGAUUGGUGGACUAGGAGAACAAAAGGGGUGGCUGCAGGGCAGGAGGGGAGGGUGCAUGUGCAGGCUGGGGAGGAGGGUAGGGCCUUGAGGCACCCUACACGCCCCUGUAAGUCGAGGCACAGAGCCGCUGCCUUGAGCCCUGAGGUCCGGACAUUCCAGUUUCCCAUCUUUCCAGUGUGGGACUCUCUGCCUUUUCCAAUUCCCCACUUCCUGAUGCCAGAUACUGCCUGACUGUGUCCAUCUCUCCCCUGUCCCCUGGGCCACCUCCCUGCUGAGACCCCUCGCUGGUGCCUCCCAGGUGCAUUCUCCUUGCUGCCCCCAGCAGAGUCCUUCCCACACACCCAGCUCCUUGGUGUGGUGCCUGCCUAUGGGCGGGUGGUGCACCCCACCGGCAUCCCUCCUCUGCCCUGUCCACCUCAACUUCCAGGGCAUCCUGGACACCAGGUUUGGUCCACCUUGUCCACACUCGCCUGCUUCUGUCCUGCCUAAAGUGGAUCCAUGAUGUCCCUUCAUUAGACCUUCAAUUUCAGCACAGGACUGAAUAACCAACCUUCAAAAAGUUUGCAGUAGCCUUGUCACUCCUAAAAAUAACAAAUAAUUCCUUAAACAUCAUUCAACAUCCAA
RNAcentral lists this non-coding RNA (1487 nucleotides) under Pongo abelii (Sumatran orangutan). The record is from RNAcentral. Lineage: Eukaryota; Metazoa; Chordata; Mammalia; Primates; Hominidae.